AGUGAACGCUGGCGGUAGGCCUAACACAUGCAAGUCGAACGGCAGCACAGUAAGAGCUUGCUCUUACGGGUGGCGAGUGGCGGACGGGUGAGGAAUACAUCGGAAUCUACUUUUUCGUGGGGGAUAACGUAGGGAAACUUACGCUAAUACCGCAUACGACCUACGGGUGAAAGCAGGGGAUCUUCGGACCUUGCGCGAUUGAAUGAGCCGAUGUCGGAUUAGCUAGUUGGCGGGGUAAAGGCCCACCAAGGCGACGAUCCGUAGCUGGUCUGAGAGGAUGAUCAGCCACACGGGAACUGAGAAACGGUCCAGACUCCUGAGGGAGGCAGCAGUGGGGAAUAUUGGGGAAUGGGCGCAAGCCUGAUACAGCCAUACCGCGUGAGUGAAGAAGGCCUUCGGGUUGUAAAGCCCUUUUGUUGGGAAAGAAAAGCAGCAGGUUAAUACCCCGCUGUUCUGACGGUACCGAAAGAAUAAGCACCGGCUAACUUCGUG
Molecule: ribosomal RNA, 492 nt
Filed under: uncultured bacterium
Lineage: Bacteria
Description: partial 16S ribosomal RNA
Rfam family: Bacterial small subunit ribosomal RNA
Source: RNAcentral